AGAGUUUGAUCAUGGCUCAGAUUGAACGCUGGCGGCGUGCUUAACACAUGCAAGUCGAUCGGUAACAGGCCCUUCGGGGUGCUGACGAGAGGCGGACGGGUGAGUAACGCUUGGGAAUCUGCCCAUCAGCGGGGGACAACCCGGGGAAACCCGGGCUAAUACCGCAUACGCUCCAAGGAGGAAAGCAGGGGACCGCAAGGCCUUGCACUGAUGGAUGAGCCCAAGUCGGAUUAGCUUGUUGGUGAGGUAAAGGCUCACCAAGGCGACGAUCCGUAGCUGGUCUGAGAGGACGAUCAGCCACACUGGGACUGAGACACGGCCCAGACUCCUACGGGAGGCAGCAGUGGGGAAUAUUGGACAAUGGGGGAAACCCUGAUCCAGCGACGCCGCGUGAGUGAAGAAGGCCUGCGGGUUGUAAAGCUCUUUCGGUAGGGACGAAAGCUUCUGACCUAAUACGUCAGAAGGUUGACUUAACCUACAAAAGAAGCACCGGCUAACUCUGUGCCAGCAGCCGCGGUAAUACAGAGGGUGCGAGCGUUAAUCGGAAUUACUGGGCGUAAAGGGCACGCAGGCGGCUUUGCAAGUCGGAUGUGAAAUCCCCGGGCUCAACCUGGGAACUGCAUUCGAAACUGCUCGGCUAGAGUAUGGGAGAGGGAAGUGGAAUUUCCGGUGUAGCGGUGAAAUGCGUAGAUAUCGGAAGGAACAUCAGUGGCGAAGGC
Molecule: ribosomal RNA, 719 nt
Filed under: uncultured bacterium
Lineage: Bacteria
Description: bacterial SSU rRNA
Rfam family: Bacterial small subunit ribosomal RNA
Source: RNAcentral